UCUUCCGCAAUGGACGAACGUCUGACGGAACAACGCCGCGUGAGUGAUGAAGGUUUUCUGAUCGUCAAGCUCUGUUGUUAGGGAAGAACAAGUGCCGUUCAAAUAGGGCGGCGCCUUGACGGUACCUAACCAGAAAGCCACGGCUCACUACAUGCCAGCCGCCGCGGUAAUACGUAGGUGGCAAGCGUUGUCCGGAAUUAUUGGGCGUAAAGGGCUCGCAGGCGGUUUCUUAAGUCUGAUGUGAAAGCCCCCGGCUCAACCGGGGAGGGUCAUUGGAAACUGGGGAACUUGAGUGCAGAAGAGGAGAGUGGAAUUCCACGUGUAGCGGUGAAAUGCGUAGAGAUGUGGAGGAACACCAGUGGCGAAGGCGACUCUCUGGUCUGUAACUGACGCUGAGGAGCGAAAGCGUGGGGAGCGAACAG
This 422-nucleotide ribosomal RNA is filed under the name uncultured bacterium. Its description in RNAcentral is "bacterial SSU rRNA". It matches the Rfam family "Bacterial small subunit ribosomal RNA", at positions 362 to 775 of the family's 1533-position model. The record is from RNAcentral.